Felis catus (domestic cat) is the source of this 2072-nucleotide long non-coding RNA. RefSeq lists it as uncharacterized. The record is from RefSeq and is a predicted model, not a curated record. Lineage: Eukaryota; Metazoa; Chordata; Mammalia; Carnivora; Felidae. The transcript has 3 exons.
AUCCAGACUCACAGAGGCUCCCCUUAACCCAGUACAACCAGUUAUCGCCUCUCCAGAUUUUCAAGUUCCUUCUGUUGGUGCCUUUUACCUAAGUCAGCAUGUUUCAAACUUUCAGAAAAGAAAAGGAAAAAAAAAAAAAAACCUUAGAAAAUAAAAACCACUACUCCACCCAAAUGAUAAAAAUCUCUUCAAUUCUCCAAGCACAACAUCUUAGUCUCCUCUUAACUCAGCACUGAGCGAGAAGUUGAUUCCUUUGGGUUCUGGGGAAUGGCGGGCUCUGCCAGUCCCCACCUCACCAGCCUAAUAGUUUUUCCAGACUGACUCCUGCUUGGUGUUGCGGGACAGCCUGGAAGCCGACUCCUGGUCCCAUUCAUUGCUCUCGGUCUUCUAAGGUCAGUCACUUGAGGGGGUGUCCCUCCUCCCUGCUCCCGGCCCCACUUCCCGCUUCCAGAAGGAGCAGGCAAUCAACACUCCUGAAGUCUGACUCGAAACCCAGACCCUCGGCCACCCCUCUGGGCUGCAUUUUGCAACUCAGACCCAGGCGCGAGGUGUGUGGGGUGACGCGAGGGAGGGGGGGUGGUGGAUUUGGCAGGGCGGUCGCCGGGGCCGUGGGCUCAGCGCCGGCCACCGAAGGAGAAGGGGCUGUGCAGGGCGCGGGACCCUCUUUGGGAAACCGUGGAGCGCGCCCUGCCCCCGGAGUCGGCGCACGCCGGGGCGAGGAGAGCCGGGGCCGGGGGCUGGGGCUGGGGGGGCGGCGCGGAGCGGGGCCUCAGAGAGACCCCCCUGCCGGCUGAGCGCCGAGGCCCGCCCGUCAGUCCCGGGGAGCCGGCAGCUCCCGAGCGCCGAGAGCCGGCAACGCAAAUACCAAGAGGAAGGGAAACCAGCCCGCGCUGACAUGUAAACAGGGGAUUCCAUCUGGAGGAGCCCGCUCAGACAGACCCCCAGACACACUCACUUGCACCCCGAUCCGCCUGCAACCCAUCCACUUGCCCGCCCCAGGGCCCUCCAGGCGGGGACCCGAGCUGGUGGCGGCUGCAUCUCCCGCCCCCGUCGCCUUCGGCCUCGGGGUCCAACCCCUCGCACUUCACCUGGACCAGAUGGCCCAAGUCCCAGCGUUCGGCCAGAGCCGCCUAUGCAAUGCUACUCCAAGCCCCAAGAAACCUACGCUACCGGGGGACGUUCCCUCCACACUGGUCAACAGGUCUGCAGAGCGCAACACUCAAGAUCGCGGCACCGUCAUCCCCACCCAGCCGUGAGGCCAGCAGACUUUUGGCCCGCCUUGUCGGCCCCCGCCACCCGGAGACCUCCCCCGUCUUUCUGCAGGGCCGCCGCCGAACCCUCCAGUUGGGGCAGCCUCAGGAGUCCGGGGCGCAGCGAGGAGACAUCCCCCCCACCCCACUCCUCCCCCAGGCGCUCUCGGCCUGACUCCCUUCUCCCCAACCUCCCAAACAGGUUACCUUGUCCACGCUCUCCAGACCACGCUUUGGACUUUUUCACUUUUAUUUAAGAGUCCACCCGGGGAAGGAGGAAAAAAAAAAUCCAGAGGAGAUCCGAGUCAAUUGGAAAGAAAAAAAAAAUUCAAAAGGGUGUCCACAGCGGCGAAAAAGCCCAGACUCUGCCGACCUUCAAACGACAACAGGGCUUUCAGGAGGGUGCGGGGAGACCGCUUCCCACCCGAACCUGGCCAGAAACCCGGCACCCCCAGCCACAUCGGCCCUCUUUCGGGCAGAAGGGAUUCCAACUCCACCACCCGGAGGCCCCCUUCCGGGUCCUGGGCAAACACUGAGGUUGCUAAUGGCCACCCCACCGGAGCCACUGCUCCCCCUUCCCGAAGCACUCCUCCAAGUGCUUGAGAAGGCUCCUCUAUGGCAAAAAUGUUGUGUAGGUCUCUCUUCCCAACUUCUAUUGUGCCUGGCAAAGAUCCCGUUACCUUCACUGCACUGAUCAGUACAGUCACCCCAGUAAGCCUAGCACCCCUAAUUCCUUGCAGCAGCAGCUGUCUCUCCCAUUGGGAGUUGCUCAAUAUGCAACUAGAUUAAACUGAGGACUUGCCCUCCUGUUUUCACCGUGGA